UGAUCCUGCCGGACCUGACUGCUAUCGGAUUGGAACUAAGCCAUGCGAGUCGUUGUAGCAAUACAAGGCGGACGGCUCAGUAACACGUAGUCAACCUAACCUAUGGACGUGGAUAACCUCGGGAAACUGAGAAUAAACCGCGAUAGAUCAUAAUACCUGGAAUGGCUUAUGGUUAAAAUAAUUUAUUGCCAUAGGAUGGGACUGCGGCCUAUCAGCUUGUUGGUGAGGUAAUGGCCCACCAAGGCUAUAACAGGUACGGGCUCUGAGAGGAGAAGCCCGGAGAUGGGUACUGAGACACGGACCCAGGCCCUAUGGGGCGCAGCAGGCGAGAAACCUUAGCAAUGUGCGAAAGCACGACUAGGUUAAUCCGAGUGAUUUCUGUUGAAGAAAUCUUUUGUCAGUCAUAAAACCACAGACGAAUAAGGGGUGGGCAAGUCUGGUGUCAGCCGCCGCGGUAAUACCAGCACCUCGAGUGGUCAGGAGGUUUAUUGGGCCUAAAGCAUCCGUAGCCGGCUUUGCAAGUCUCCGGUUAAAUCCAACUGCUCAACAGAUGGGCUGCCGGAGAUACUACAAAGCUAGGGAGCGGGAGAGGCAGACGGUAUUCUGUGGGUAGGGGUAAAAUCCACUGAUCCAUAGAGGACCACCAGUGGCGAAGGCGGUCUGCCAGAACGCGUUCGACGGUGAGGGAUGAAAGCUGGGGGAGCAAACCGGAUUAGAUACCCGGGUAGUCCCAGCUGUAAACGAUGCAAACUCGGUGAUGCAUUGACUUAUGGUCAAUGCAGUGCCGCAGGGAAGCCGUUAAGUUUGCCGCCUGGGAAGUACGGACGCAAGUCUGAAACUUAAAGGAAUUGGCGGGGGAGCACCACAAGGGGUGAAGCCUGCGGUUCAAUUGGAUCAACGCCGG
RNAcentral lists this ribosomal RNA (904 nucleotides) under uncultured archaeon. RNAcentral's name for it is "bacterial SSU rRNA". It matches the Rfam family "Archaeal small subunit ribosomal RNA", at positions 9 to 921 of the family's 1478-position model. The record is from RNAcentral.